Molecule: unclassified non-coding RNA, 730 nt
Filed under: Hevea brasiliensis (rubber tree)
Lineage: Eukaryota; Viridiplantae; Streptophyta; Magnoliopsida; Malpighiales; Euphorbiaceae
Source: RNAcentral
UAGCAAAGGAGGGGACGGUCAAUUUUUGCUAAUGUGGCAAGGGUGAUGAUGUGGCACUGCUGUGUCAGGUGAUGUGGUAGUGCUGGCAAGUGAUGUGGUGUUGAUGUCUGUAGAGGCAGUGGAUGGAUCUAGUGUAGGCAGUAGCACAGAAUAGCAAGUGAGCUCAAUUGGGUUUGGGCACAAAUAGUACCCAACCUGAUGGAAACUUGCUGCAGGGGUGGAUGGCAGUUUCGACGACAAGAAAAGACAGAUCGGCGGUUGGCAAUGCAAGGAGGGGUCUAGUUUUCGGAAUCUGGAUGGAUGAUGGCGGGUUGAGUUUUGGGUUGAUCUUCAACCUGUGUGGUUCUUUGCCUUUGGGGCACGGCUGGCGGCUAAAAUGGCCUAGGGAUAGUCAACUGGUGGUCGCCGGUUGAUUUGCGGUGACGGUGGGCCUUUCCAAUGGUUGGAGGAUGGUGGGCAUUGGUGAAAAGGGUUGUCAAUGCUAAGUUGUCGCAAUGCUUUGUUUCUUAAGGCUCUUUUCUUUUUUUUUUCAAUGGUAAAAGGAAAUUUCGCAGAAACACAAAGGACAAAUUAGAGUAACAGUGUGGAAGGUGAAAUUUUUGAAGGACAAGUAAAGGUGGGAUGUUUGGGGAUUUCGCAAAAGCUAUAUGGAAUUUAGAUUGAUUAUAGGCUCUGAUUCCAAAAUUGAUGUAGAACAAGGAGGAACAAGCAUAGUUAUCAAAGGCUCAAG